RNAcentral lists this long non-coding RNA (335 nucleotides) under Naja naja (Indian cobra). Its description in RNAcentral is "lncRNA (ENSNNAG00000005543.1)". Lineage: Eukaryota; Metazoa; Chordata; Lepidosauria; Squamata; Elapidae. The record is from RNAcentral.
AGAACAGACCGUUAGAGGGGACAGACUGGACACAGGGCCCAAUCCAGACACACAGCCCUGGCUCGCCGGACAAGCCAGAUCAUCCGCAGCAUCGUUUACAGGAUCAUGUGAUUGCCAUUUGUGACCUUUGCAGGGGGCUUCCAAGACGGAAGGAAGCUGAAUUCACUGAAUGACCACAGCAAAAACACACAAAAAAAGUCAUAAAAUCAGCUGCAACUCACCUAAUGAACACAUCAUUUAGCAUCGGAAGUUCCAGCCCCAAAUUGGGGUCAUAAGUUGAGGACUGCCUGUAACUGUUUUGGAUGGCAGACUUGGGGAAGUGGCCUUCAUUGUCU